RNAcentral lists this ribosomal RNA (253 nucleotides) under uncultured bacterium. RNAcentral's name for it is "partial 16S ribosomal RNA". It matches the Rfam family "Bacterial small subunit ribosomal RNA", at positions 15 to 257 of the family's 1533-position model. The record is from RNAcentral.
GAUCAGGGCUCAGGAUGAACGCUAGCUACAGGCUUAACACAUGCAAGUCGAGGGGAAACGACAGAGGAAGCUUGCUUCCUUUGGGCGUCGACCGGCGCACGGGUGAGUAACGCGUAUCCAACCUUCCCGCAAGUAAGGGAUAACCCGUAGAAAUGCGGCCUAAUACCUUAUGUUUUCCUUAGAGGGCAUCUGAUGAGGAACAAAGAUCCGUCGCUUGCGGAUGGGGAUGCGUCUGAUUAGUUAGUCGGCGGGG